RNAcentral lists this ribosomal RNA (313 nucleotides) under uncultured bacterium. RNAcentral describes it as "bacterial SSU rRNA". It matches the Rfam family "Bacterial small subunit ribosomal RNA", at positions 28 to 334 of the family's 1533-position model. The record is from RNAcentral.
GAUGAACGCUGGCGGCGUGCUUAACACAUGCAAGUCGAACGGACUUUUGAUGAAGCCUAGCGAUUCAAAAGUUAGUGGCGGACGGGUGAGUAACGCGUGGGUAAUCUGCCUUAUACAGGGGGAUAACACUUAGAAAUAGGUGCUAAUACCGCAUAAGCGCACAGUAUCGCAUGAUACAGUGUGAAAAACUCCGGUGGUAUAAGAUGGACCCGCGUCUGAUUAGCUAGUUGGUGAGGUAACGGCUCACCAAGGCGACGAUCAGUAGCCGGCCUGAGAGGGUGAACGGCCACAUUGGGACUGAGACACGGCCCAA